CAUUCUGUUGCUACAACCCAUCUGGGGGAUCGCUCGGCUUGAGUACCGAAGAAGGUCGUGACAAGCUGCGAUAAGCUGCGGGGAGACGCAUGAGUGUCUUGGAUCCGCAGAUAGCUGAAUGGGACUUCCUAUCCCUUAGGGGAUGAUCGCUUAUGCGAUAGGGAACCCCCCGAAUUGAAGCAUCUUAGUAGGGGGAGGAAAAGAAAUCAAUGAGAUUCCGUAAGUAGUGGCGAACGAACACGGAACAGGACAAACCGAAUCCCGAUUUGAAAAUGAGGGACAUGUGGUGUGACCAUUUUUUGCCUAAAUCACUGAAAUAGAAGUCGCCUGGAACGGCACAGCCAUAGAGGGUGAAAGUCCCGUAUAUGCAAGUGACAUGGCCACGUAAUGGCUCAAGAGUAGUGUGCGUUGGAUAUCGCGCAUGAAUAUGGGAGGCAGGAACUUCCAAUCCUAAAUAUAUCUCGAGACCGAUAGUUUACAAGUAACGUGAGUGAAAGCUGAAAAGAAUCCUUAGCGGGAUGUGAAAAGAACGUGAAACCAGAUGGGUACAGGCUGAUAGGGCGUGAAAGCGAAGAUAUGAGCAGCGUCCUAUCGUGCGUUUCGAAAAAUGCCCCAGGGAGUCUUGAUCAUUGGCGAGGUUAAGUGGUUGAUCCACGUAGCCGAAGGGAAACCGACAAGUCCGCAGCAGUUUACUGUGAGGGACGAAGUGUGCUCGCUUGGAGUCAAUGGUGGAGGACCUGAAGCCCGACGAUCUAUGCCUGGCCAGAUUGAAGCCCGACGAAAGUUGGGUGGAGG
Molecule: ribosomal RNA, 795 nt
Filed under: Candidatus Poseidoniaceae archaeon
Lineage: Archaea; Methanobacteriati; Thermoplasmatota; Candidatus Poseidoniia; Candidatus Poseidoniales; Candidatus Poseidoniaceae
Description: partial 23S ribosomal RNA
Rfam family: Archaeal large subunit ribosomal RNA
Source: RNAcentral